GGGCUUGGCAGCCCACUCCCUCCUCACUUGCUCUCAUUUCCCACUCUCCACUCCUCUCCACUCCUCUCCUUUGCCUCAUUUCUUUUCACUCCCUACUAUUUCCUCCACUCCCUCACACUCUCCUCCUCCACUUCCCCACGAAAAUGGUGCUCCCCUUGCUCCCAUGGCCGGCCAUGGCCAUGGAAAGCCACCAAGAUGAAGCUCCCUUCCUCCCUCAAGCUCAUCCUCACCAUGAGAGCCUCCCCCUCCAUCUUCUCCCCAACCUUAGAUGGUUUAAUCUCCUCUUCUUCUCCCUCCAUUGCUAAGAUUGGAUCUUGAUGCAGGUGCAUGUUGGUCCAAGCAUGGAGAAGGUUGAGCUAUCCUCAGAUCUGAAGUUCUUGAGCAAAAUCCAACUCGAGUGGUUCAAAGUUCUGCAGAUAGAUCAAAAUCUGGUCAGAUCUGACUUUGUCGAAUUAAACCAGGAGCUUGGAGACGAAUUUUUGAAUGAAACCAACUGGAUGCGAACAAUUCCGGAGAAGAAGAACAAGUGGAAUCGGAUGAGAAGAUUUUAUUUAUAUUGUUGGGAUUGUUAUAUUGAUGGAGUUGAAGAAGUACAGGGACAAAUAAGCCAAGAUCAAAAUCUGGUCAGAUCUGACUUUGUCGAAUUAAACCAGGAGCUUGGAGACGAAUUUUUGAAUGAAACCAACUGGAUGCGAACAAUUCCGGAGAAGAAGAACAAGUGGAAUCGGAUGAGAAGAUUUUAUUUAUAUUGUUGGGAUUGUUAUAUUGAUGGAGUUGAAGAAGUACAGGGACAAAUAAGCCAAGACUUGAAGGAGUUCGACAGAUGAAGAAGGAGUUGGCGACGUCUAUGCGAGCUAGGAACGUCUUCCCAGUCAGUUACCUGUAGGGUUAUGGCAGAUGACUUGGGUACUGCGCUGCUGAAGUGAUGAUGCUACUCUGAUGUUUAGUUAGGCCCUUCGAGGCUAUUAUGGAAUUUCGGACAGCUAGUCCGGGGUCCCCACAGAGCUGGUAUCAGAGCCAUCCUGACUGUAGGAGACUUUAGUUAGCAUGGACGUUAGUUAGGAAACAAGUACUUGGACAAAACUAUUUACAAAACAAAUUGUUUCUUUAGUCGGAAGUAUAGCUUCUACUCCUCUUAUUUAUUCAAAGCUUCUAAAAUUCUUACCUCUCCGCUUUAUAAAAAGGUUUGAAAAUUCUUACUCUAUUGUCUCAGCCAAUUCAAACCUACAUAUUGGACGAUGUCCCCAACUCAGACUGGAGACUCGAACUCGAAGAUGGCUCAAUCCCUCAGGAAGACUCAUAUAUCUCCAACUGCAGCUAUUGAAGAUUGGAUGCCGACGUAGCCGUGUGCUUGUUGGGAUGAUAACAUCAUGUCUUUGGUUGUCACCAAAGUCUGUCAAGGAGCUGACCUUCUUCCUCCGUGGACUUGCACUUUUUGCAGUCAUCUGGGAUCAAGUCCUCAGUUCUUGACUAGUAAUUUUUAGGCCAGCUACAAGAAGUUGACGAUUUCGGGAGUACCUCAACAACUACCUCUUCGAAGACCUCACGUCCCCGGGAUGUUGAGCAAGAAGACUACGCAGUUUUCUCCUCCGCCUCAACAUAGAAGACCGAACACCAGGCCUGCUUCGCAACCAACUGCCCCGAAAAUCCAUGUUGGAGUCCAUAAGAGCAAAAUGAAGACGGCAACAUAUGUGACCAGCCCCCAAGCGAAUAGGAUGGAUAGGACAAACUCAAUCGCUUUGAUUGAGCUACCCCCACGCAUUAGGCAUUCCAUGGGUACUUAGGUUACCAUGCCUGGUUUGAUGAUUGCUUGUAGUUCCCUUGUGUGCUGCCUUGAGUGUCUUUUGUUUGUUUGUUGUGUGUAUAAU
Molecule: non-coding RNA, 1868 nt
Organism: Lolium perenne
Lineage: Eukaryota; Viridiplantae; Streptophyta; Magnoliopsida; Poales; Poaceae
Source: RefSeq, a predicted model, not a curated record